RNAcentral lists this long non-coding RNA (5238 nucleotides) under Marmota monax (woodchuck). The record is from RNAcentral. Lineage: Eukaryota; Metazoa; Chordata; Mammalia; Rodentia; Sciuridae.
AAGGGGCCUGACCCGACCCCUCUUCUCUUCAGGUUUUCAGGCAGUCAGCACUGUGGCCACAUCCACUGUGCCUACCAGUACCGAGAGCACUACCACUGCCUGGACCCUGAGUGCAACUACCAGGUACGAGAUGCACCACUGCACAGCACAGCGGCUCUGGCUAGAAGUGAGGCACCAGGUGCUUAGUACUCCAUGGGUCACCUGAACUUAACUUGGUGGGCAGAGAGUACGGACCCACUGCCAGCCUGUGCCACUAGUAGGUUCUGCAGCCAUUGGCAUCCUGGUGGUGAUGAUGCCCAUGCAGCUUCGCUGGGAAUCCAGUGUGGACCAAGGCCCAUUCCAGAUGGCCUGUGUACCGCAGCUAGCUAACUCUUCAAGGGGCCUUCUAAGGUCGGCAUCACUGCCCCACUUCAAAACGGAAAUUGAGGUUCAGAUAGAAUGCCAUUAUGUAAAGACCACGACUUGCAAAUGCAGAACUAUCAAAGAGGUGGCAUUGACAGUGUGCAUAGGCUGCUCCUUCGGUCUCACCGGGUGUCUCACCUGGCUUUGCUCACAGGUGCAUUGGGCAGAAUGUACUGUCACCUGUCAGAGCCCUUGCCCUGAGGGAGCACCCUGUUCAUCCUCUGCUUGGGCUGUGGCUGUUGGGAGGCUGGGGAGAGGCCAGGGGAGGGUCUAUGGUUUCUGGAUUGUUGGAAUCCCUGCUGCUGAGGGAAUUGGCUGGGCAGUCUGUGCUGUCCUGACCACAAGUGGGGUUAGGUUUAUGAGGUGACCUGAGGGCCCUGAGGCCGGCCCCUGGCCCAGGCUGUCUUGGCAUACGGGUGGGGAUGAGGGCUCCUGCCAGCUUGGUACUCUUCCUGGCAGAGGUUCACGAGUAAGCAGGACGUGAUCCGGCACUACAACAUGCACAAGAAGCGGGACAACUCCCUGCAGCACGGCUUCAUGCGCUUCAGCCCCCUGGACGACUGCAGCGUCUACUACCACGGCUGCCACCUCAACGGGAAGAGCACCCACUACCACUGCAUGCAGGUGCCCGCCUCCCCGUCCUCGCCCUGAAGCCCCCCAGCUCAGGCCUUCCUCUAACCCCGACCACAGCAGCCAUGGGCAGGGUCUCUGGGUGCAGGGUGGAGGUAGCUGGUGAGCCAAGAGUCACUGGGCAUGCUGAGGGAGGCUCUGGGGGAGUGGGGAGCAGAAUCUGGUGGCCGAGGCGGGGCCAUCCCCGUGGCCAUACUUGGUGUGGGGGAAAUUCAGUGAGCUGUUUAUACAGACCGACAUUUUUCAGGCUUUAACACCAAGAGCGGCAUUGCAAAUGAUUCCUGAGGAGGUUUUUGUUUAAUUCUUUGUUUUAAUGCCACACUGAGUCUGGGCUUUUUCAAGGUGUCAGGCCCAGGAGGAGCGACUUUGGGUUGCAAAUAGCAGCCUCCUUGCCUCCCCCAUAUUUGUCGAGGGUUGUUAUGGCCUCUGGGGAACAACCUGGGUGUGAGGAGGGGGGCCACCCUGGGCCUGAGACGGUGCAGGCACUGGCACAGCCCAGCCUUUGAGGGUGCUCAGAGGCCACUGGUUUUUACUCAAUAUGGCAACAUUGUCUGCCUGGCCCAGUGCGGGGGGAGGGGCCAUGCCCAGAAAUCAUCCACUAAGCAAGUCCCUGAGCUAAGGUGACCUCCAGGACACAGCCCCUGUCAACUCUGGGGACUGUAGAGGUAGGGCCACAGAUGGGGAUAUAAAACCCAGCAUCUGAAGAGCAUGGCUCCCUCGCCUGGGCCCGAAGCCGCGUGGUCUGAAGACAGCCUGGCCCUCAGGCAGGUUCCGGUUGCUCCCUGGGCGGGGUGGGGGGGUGGUGGUUGGAGGCUUUAUGCCUCGGCCCAGGCACACCUGGGGAGUUUGAGGAUAGAGGUGUCAGCUGUCCCGAGAGGAGACCUGUGCCCAGCCGCCCUCUGACCUUGGCCCAGCUGUGCCAGGACUCAGAUGGCUGCCCGCCAUCCUGGCUGCAGGUGGGCUGCAACAAGGUGUACACGAGCACGUCCGACGUGAUGACCCAUGAGAACUUCCACAAGAAGAACACCCAGCUCAUCAACGAUGGCUUCCAGCGCUUCCGAGCCACCGAGGACUGCGGCACGGCGGACUGCCAGUUCUACGGACAGAAGACCACGCACUUCCACUGCAGGUGAGCCAGCUGUCCACCGGCACCCCAGGCUGGAGGAGGGGCAGGGGAUAGCUUGCUUAAGGCCCUGGUUUGGUGUCCAGCCUGGGUUUUCUGUCACGGGGACUGCCCCCUGUGUGCCCCAUGACAGACCCCCAAUGUCCCAUCCAGGCGUCCUGGCUGCACGUUCACCUUCAAGAACAAGUGUGACAUCGAGAAGCACAAGAGCUACCACAUCAAGGACGACGCCUACGCCAAGGACGGGUUCAAGAAGUUCUACAAGUACGAGGAGUGCAGGUACGAGGGCUGCGUGUACAGCAAGGCCACCAACCACUUCCACUGCAUCCGCGCCGGCUGCGGCUUCACCUUCACCUCCACCAGCCAGAUGACCUCGCACAAGCGCAAGCACGAGCGCCGGCAUGUCCGCUCCUCGGGCGUGCUGGGGCUGCCACCCUCGCUGCUGGGCGCCAAGGACACGGAGCCCGAGGAGUCUAGCAACGACGACCUGGUGGACUUCUCUGCCCUGAGCAGCAAGAACUCCAGCCUGAGCGCCUCCCCCACCAGCCAACAGUCCUCUGCGUCCCUGGCCACUGCCGCUGCCACCACCGAGGGCACGCCCAGUGCCACCAAGCCUCCUAGCAGCAAGAUCCAGGGGCUGAUGCCCCAGGGCCUGCCAGGCUCCAUCCCCCUGGCACUGGCCCUCUCCAACUCGGGCCUGCCCACCACCGCACCGUACUUCCCCCUUCUUCCUGGCCGUGGGAGCACCUCCCUGCCUGUGGGUGCCCCUGGCCUCCUGGGUGCCAUGUCAUCUGGGGCAGGUGCCUCAGCAACCCCCGACACACCUACCUUGGUGGCUUCGGGAGCUGGAGAUUCGGCCCUGGCGACUGCCACCUCUGUCCCGGUGCCCCCUGCCUCCAUCAUGGAGAGAAUCUCUGCGAGCAAGGGCCUCAUCUCACCCAUGAUGGCCAGAUUGGCCGCAGCUGCCCUCAAGCCCUCUGCCACCUUUGACCCAGGUGAGCAGGCCAGGCCCUGCCCAGGAAGCAAGCACCUUCUGGGUCCCAGAGGCUCCAUCCCUGCACUCCUGUUGCAGAGCAGAGUAGGGUGGUGUGGGGGAGCCGUCUGUCUGAUCUCCACCCUCCAGUCUUGCACCAAGCAGUGGCCCCUCUCUGCCUGGUCUCUGCCUCCCUCCUGUGUAUUUCCUCCUCAGAGCCCCACCUGGGCCCCUGCCCAGGGAGUUCUCGCCUGUUUCUCCUGAGGCGGGAACAGUAGGCCCUCCCUCCUGGGAUCCCCUGCAUUCUGUUGGCUCGCUGUGUUCUCACCUCCCACAUCACAGAUGAGUCCCUGAGGAGAGCUGUCCCAGGCCCCCUUCUCCUCUUGAGUCUCCUCCAGAUGACCUGGAGGGGGACAGGUCCAACACAGUGGCAGGGUGACUGCACCUCAUACCUGGACAGCCCUCCAGGCCGAGGGACACCUCUGCAGCUUUCCCCCAGCAGAACUUACACCCCACGCUCUUCAGCAUGGCAGCCACUAGCCAGGUGGCUGUGGAGUGCCCAGCUGGUCAGAGUGAAGAGGCACUGGGUUGCAGUGUGACUCAUUUAAGCAGGCGCACUGGCCAGUGCUCCCUGAUGGACAGUGUGGCCUGCAGCCAAGAGUGGCUUCUUCUGGUCUGGCACUGGCUUGCUACAGGGUGGCCCCCUCCUUCCUCCUUUUUCCUUGCUUCCUUCUUUCUCCUGGUUUCCCUGGCUCCUCUCCCUUUGCUUCCCCAUCUGGGAAUUUGUCUUAGUUGAGCCCUUGAGAAGUGUUCAGCUCCGUCCAGGAGGUGGCUCAUUCAUUCACUCAACAACCCUUGGUGCUUGCUGGGUGCCUGCCGAGGGCUACCACUGAGUGGGUGCUGGGGACACACAGGCAGGAGGAAGUGGAAGCCAGCCCCGUCCUGUGGUGCUGAUGGAGCAGUGGGGUGGCCCGUCCCCAUACACAGCUGAAAGUGACAAAGUUGAGACGGUCCUCAGCACCUUGGCUGCCAGGUCCGGAUACUCUGCUCCCAUUUGAGACCAUCUUGGAACCGGCCAGGACAGACAGAGGGUCCCUUCGUCCCAGCUUGGGGCUCUGCCCACACCUCCUUGAGAGUUCUAGCCCUGGAGGAUAGGGAGCCGGGCCCGUUUUCCUGUGACUGGGGGUAAAUGACUUCAGGAGCUGCUGGGGUGUGGGCUUAUGAAGGCUGAGAACCCUUUCAGGUCCCUGGUGGGGCACUCAGAUCCCAGGGGGCAGUUUAGAGGCCCCACCUUCCACUCCCUGGCCACAACCCCAACCAAGAACUGAGCCCUCCAAGGCCACCCUGGGCUCAGUGGCCAAGCUGUCAAGGACUUUCUUUUUCCUACAAAAGUCUCCUUCCCCUCCCCCGCAAAAGAAAGGUCAGGCGCAGGGGAGGGAGCCAUUUUCCUGUAUUUUUAAUAAAAUGCCACUUGCAGUCUGAAGCAGUCCUGUCAGCUGUAGCGCCUUGGGGCAGAUUAAUAUUUCAGUCACUUGGGGAUUGUGGAGCUGGGCCCAGUGGACACCUUCCUGUCAGCUUCUUUUGCCCCUGAUCUGCUCGGCUUCCUACAGCGUCUUCCCACCCAGCUUCCCCUCAGACCCAUCCUGGCCAGGCCUUGAGCCCCUGCCCUGGACAGCUUGACGGGCGAGGUCACACAGCUCGCUGAUUGGCCGUCAGCUCGGUAGCCCUGACACAGCAGAUGCCCUCUCUGGGCAUGCUCAGUGCAGGCAGGCUGUCUCCCCGGCAACAGCAGGCCAGGGACCAAGGAGGGGCCGCUCUGUCCAGAUCUGCCACUUUCCCUCAGCAUUAACAGAGUCUUUAAUAAAAGCUUAAACGGCAGCCCCAGAAAUCGACUGUGACAGUUGGUGAGGAAAACGAAGGGCCCCUGCACCCGCCCCAGCCCCCUCCUCAGCCUCCCGCCCUUCUCCAGGAGGCCCUGAGCCAGGCCAACUUUGACAUAAUUUUGCAGUAAUUAUCACUUGAAGAAUUGCCACACAGGGGUAAGCGUCUCAAGCGAUCACGUCAGCAGGGAGAAUCGCUGACCACAGUGAGGCCUCCCCAGACCCCUGGC